This 58-nucleotide transfer RNA is filed under the name Chromobacterium violaceum. RNAcentral describes it as "tRNA-Asn". It matches the Rfam family "tRNA", at positions 8 to 63 of the family's 71-position model. Rfam says of the family: Transfer RNA (tRNA) molecules are approximately 80 nucleotides in length. The record is from RNAcentral. Lineage: Bacteria; Pseudomonadati; Pseudomonadota; Betaproteobacteria; Neisseriales; Chromobacteriaceae.
UAGCUCAGUCGGUAGAGCGACGGACUGUUAAUCCGCAGGUCGCAGGUUCGAGCCCUGC